UGAGUGCAGUAGAGGUAGGCGGAAUUCCUAGUGUAGCGGUGAAAUGCGUAGAUAUUAGGAGGAACACCAGUGGCGAAGGCGGCCUACUGGGCUGUAACUGACGCUGAGGCUCGAAAGCGUGGGUAGCAAACAGGAUUAGAUACCCCGGUAGUCCACGCCGUAAACGAUGAUUACUAGGUGUGGGGGGACUGACCCCUUCCGUGCCGGAGUUAACACAAUAAGUAAUCCACCUGGGGAGUACGACCGCAAGGUUGAAACUCAAAGGAAUUGACGGGGGCCCGCACAAGCAGUGGAGUAUGUGGUUUAAUUCGAAGCAACGCGAAGAACCUUACCAGGUCUUGACAUCGAGCGACGAACUUAGAGAUAAGUUCUUCCUUCGGGACGCGAAGACAGGUGGUGCAUGGUUGUCGUCAGCUCGUGUCGUGAGAUGUUGGGUUAAGUCCCGCAACGAGCGCAACCCUUAUCAUUAGUUGCUACGCAAGAGCACUCUAAUGAGACUGCCGUUGAUAAAACGGAGGAAGGUGGGGAUGACGUCAAAUCAUCAUGCCCCUUAUGACCUGGGCUACACACGUACUACAAUGGUGAUCAAACAGAGGGAAGCAACACAGCGAUGUGAAGCAAAUCCCGAAAAAUCAUCUCAGUUCAGAUUGCAGGCUGCAACUCGCCUGCAUGAAGUCGGAAUUGCUAGUAAUCGCGGAUCAGCAUGCCGCGGUGAAUACGUUCCCGGGCCUUGUACACACCGCCCGUCACACCAUGGGAGUCGGUAACACCCGAAGCCAGUAGCCUAACCGCAAGGAGGGCGCUGUCGAAGGUGGGAUUGAUGACUGGGGUGAAGUCGUAACAAGGUAACC
Molecule: ribosomal RNA, 851 nt
Filed under: uncultured bacterium
Lineage: Bacteria
Description: bacterial SSU rRNA
Rfam family: Bacterial small subunit ribosomal RNA
Source: RNAcentral